GCUAUUCUCUUUACCUGGCCCUGAUGCGCGCCAGCCAACCAGGCCAAGGCCAGGGGACCUCGAGACCGGCAGCCUCGACGAAGAACCGGAAGGAGGAAGAGGAACGGGAAGGAGGAAGAUCUCCCGCAUUGACUUCAUAACCAAGUUCUGGGUCCCUGCCACUGGAGUGCCUGAUGAGACAAAACGGCUCCUCGUCCUGCAUCCCCGCUGCUACUUCCAGAAUUCAGGCCUCGUGGCCUGGAGCCUGCACUGUUCCAUGAGCCCCCUGACCAACCUGGAGGCCUCUGUCUUUCUUCCCUCGGUGAGAUGCGCCUACUUCUCCCUGGAGAAGCUCGAGGAAGCAGAAAUGCUGGAGAUGAGACCCAGCACACCCUGCCUGCAUGGCGCUGUGCUGCACCUUCACUCUGGUCACGGGUCUGGCAGUCGGCUCACCAAUUCCUCCCGCUUCCCUGGGACUCGCCGGCUUUUAGCACUGCAAUUCACUCAGCAAACUGGGACUGUUGGUCACCCUACCUGGCAGCCAGUGAUAAGGUGAGGGCCACUCCUGGGAGGGAGGACACCUGUGGGGAAAAUUCUUGUGUUAUUUAUUUCUCCUUCAGGAUAGGGUGCCUGCAGCGCUUCAUGGGAGGGGGUGGGCUGAUGCUGCGGACUCAGAAGUUUCAAGGGCAUCUGGGGAGACCAGAUAUUCAGAGACCUUCUCCUAGAUGUGCCUGUUCCAUGUAUCAGGGACGCAGGUUUUCCCAACAG
This 747-nucleotide non-coding RNA is filed under the name Pan troglodytes (chimpanzee). The record is from RNAcentral. Lineage: Eukaryota; Metazoa; Chordata; Mammalia; Primates; Hominidae.